UACAGAGGGUGCAAGCAUUGAUCGGAUUUAUUGGGCGUAAAGGGUGCGUAGGCGGACUUUUAAGUCUGAUGUGAAAGACUGGUACUCAAUACCAGCAGUGCAUUGGAUACUGAUAGUCUUGAGGGUAGGUGGAGAAAGCGGAAUUCCAUGUGUAGCGGUGAAAUGCGUAGAUAUAUGGAAGAACACCUGUGGCGUAAGCGGCUUUCUAACUUACUUCUGACGCUGAGGCACGAGAGCGUGGGGAGCAAACAGG
Molecule: ribosomal RNA, 253 nt
Filed under: uncultured bacterium
Lineage: Bacteria
Description: partial 16S ribosomal RNA
Rfam family: Bacterial small subunit ribosomal RNA
Source: RNAcentral